Molecule: ribosomal RNA, 497 nt
Filed under: uncultured bacterium
Lineage: Bacteria
Description: partial 16S ribosomal RNA
Rfam family: Bacterial small subunit ribosomal RNA
Source: RNAcentral
GAUGAACGCUGGCGGCGUGCCUAAUACAUGCAAGUAGAACGCUGAAGGAAGGAGCUUGCUCUUUCCGGAUGAGUUGCGAACGGGUGAGUAACGCGUAGGUAACCCGCCUGGUAGCGGGGGAUAACUAUUGGAAACGAUAGCUAAUACCGCAUAACAGUAGAUGUUGCAUGACAACUAUUUGAAAGGGGCAAUUGCUCCACUACCAGAUGGACCUGCGUUGUAUUAGCUAGUUGGUGAGGUAACGGCUCACCAAGGCGACGAUACAUAGCCGACCUGAGAGGGUGAUCGGCCACACUGGGACUGAGACACGGCCCAGACUCCUACGGGAGGCAGCAGUAGGGAAUCUUCGGCAAUGGACGGAAGUCUGACCGAGCAACGCCGCGUGAGGGAAGAAGGUUUUCGGAUCGUAAAGCUCUGUUGUAAGAGAAGAACGAGUGUGAGAGUGGAAAGUUCACACUGUGACGGUAUCUUACCAGAAAGGGACGGCUAACUACGUG